UUUUUUUCUUUUUUUUUUUUUUUUUUUUCAUCCAGCAUUUGUUUAACAUGGCCUCCCCUUGUUUCUAUUGGAGUUAUCAAGACCAAAUAUGGACCAUCGGUAGACCUCAUCAUGAAGUAUUACCAGAUGAGGCUGUGUAGGAUUUCAUCAUCCCCUUUAGAAGUUAUCUCCCUUUUAUUGUUUUUUUCGACAUGGCCCCCCUCGUUGUUUUUGAAGAUAUCAUGACCUUAUUUGGACAAUAGUUAGAUCUCAUCAUGAUGUGUUACCAUAUGAGGCUGCUAAGGAUUUCAUCAUUCCCUAUGAGAGUUAUGUCCCCUUGAAGCAAUUUCUUUCUUUUACAUUUUUCUCAAAAAGUAUUCAAGAUAGAAUCGAUUUGAAAACGGCAACAUGUACAAGACCAGAUGGCAAUGUUAAUUAACAUAUACAAUCAUUUUGUUGUUAAACCCUUAUAAGGAGUUAUUUCCCUUGAAAAAUAUAACACAAUUUUUGAAAAAUUGUAUCUCGAGAACCGGAAGUCGUAAAGACUUGGGACCUACACCAAUAAUCUUAAGUUCAUGUGACCUUUAAUUUGCACCCAAGGUCAAAGGUCACCGAGUGCAAAAAAAAAAAUUACGCUGCAAUUUCAAGCUUUCAUAUUAAGAAAACGAUAAGAGUUUGCUGCAUACUUACAGCGUAUAAAAUGUUCCUCUCGACGAGCUCUACAUUUUUAUACACUGAGCUCAAAAGAGUCCGACUGUCUGUUCAAAAGUUACGACGGGAUGAUUCUUAAAAGUAUAGUAUUGUGUGUAUAUCUUUUUAAAGGUAACAGAUAUCAACCUACUAUAAACUGCAAAGAUGAUCAGUAGUUCAAGACCUUCAAUUUGAGGUCAAUGUCAGGUCAUGAUGAAAUUUCACCUUGACCUUCACAUUAUACUAUGACCUUGACCUUGUGAUAUUUGAAAGGUCAAGUGGUCCUGAGUUGAAUGGUGAUAGUCCCAUGUCUCUACGACUUCCGGUUCUCAAGUUUUGUAUUGCAUCAUAUAUUUGAUGAUUAAUUGUGACCUUGGUGAACUUUGAAAUUGUCCCAAUUCUUUUUC
RNAcentral lists this long non-coding RNA (1076 nucleotides) under Mytilus galloprovincialis (Mediterranean mussel). Lineage: Eukaryota; Metazoa; Mollusca; Bivalvia; Mytilida; Mytilidae. The record is from RNAcentral.